CCGGGAUGUUCAUAACCCUUUGUUGUCCGACUCUGUUGCCUCCGGGGCGACCCUGCCUUCGGGCGGGGGCUCCGGGUGGACACUUCAAACUCUUGCGUAACUUUGCAGUCUGAGUAAAUUUAAUUAAUAAAUUAAAACUUUUAACAACGGAUCUCUUGGUUCUGGCAUCGAUGAAGAACGCAGCAAGAUCAUUACAAGUGACCCCGUCUAACCCCGGGAUGUUCUAACCCUUUGUUGUCGACUCUGUUGCCUCCGG
This 256-nucleotide unclassified non-coding RNA is filed under the name uncultured fungus. RNAcentral describes it as "sequence contains ITS1". The record is from RNAcentral. Lineage: Eukaryota; Fungi.